Drosophila nasuta is the source of this 1618-nucleotide long non-coding RNA. RefSeq lists it as uncharacterized. The record is from RefSeq and is a predicted model, not a curated record. The transcript is spliced from 3 exons. Lineage: Eukaryota; Metazoa; Arthropoda; Insecta; Diptera; Drosophilidae.
ACUUUUGUAGUGAAUAAAAAAGCGAGAAAAAUCGAGAAAAACAAGUGAAUAGCAAAUAUGGUCAGAAUCCGGUUGACUGUGUGGCGCCUAAUCAGUGACGGAAAGUGCAAAUGAAAAGCGGAAAAUCCAGCAUCUAUGCGCAGGCAGGCCAACAGCACAAUUAAGUGCUCCACUAGCAAGGAGUUUUGGGGCAGUUAGUGUUGAAGUUGCUGUCGUUGUUGCAGUCCAAGUUGAAGUCGAAGUCGAAGUCGAAUUUGCAGUCGUCGUCGCAUUCGAAGCUGUUGACACACUUUCGAUUGCAUCACCGCAGCGUGCGGCACAAAGUGGCCAUAAGAUGCAGCCAGUUUUAGCUUAGUUUACAGUUUCGGCUCUAAUUAUUUGUGCAAAUGGUGGACAUGUGCAUUAUUUAAGAUUUCAUCAUUGGGUUUUUUCCUGGAGCGGUCACGGAAUCUUGAAAAAUAUAACUAAGAAAUGCCAACGCAAUUAAAUUGAUUUAGAUUUCAAAGCAGAGCAGCAGACACUGCAAAGGAAAUUAAUCACAAUCUAAUUGUUUUGCCAACUAAAUUACACUAUCCCAGUUUUUCUAGGUGCGUCCCAAAUAUGUGGUGAGAAAUUCAUGUUUUGGUGUUAGAUUUUUGCAACGAAAUAUUUGCACAGUAAAUGCCUUUGCUAAUUGCCAAUUACGUUUAAUUAAUUAACAUGAAAAUUACAACAACAAAAAAAUGAUACAGUGUCGAAAAGCCAUUUACGAGUUGGAAAAUAAAACAAGUUUCUGUCUUCAAAUUUGCAACGACGCGUCGCCUAAGUGCCGAAAGAUUUUCCAAAAAAGAUUUUCAAAUCAAGUGAAUUACAUAAAAAAAACAUACCCCGGCGCCUAAUAGUUAAAUUUCUAAAUCAGAUGAUUGAUUGACUGACAGAUAGAAAGAGUGAGAGAAGGAGAGAUGGCGAGGAAGAAGAGAGCUGGAAGCUAUAUGAGUUGUGGUCGUAAUUUGAGUCGCUUAUGUAGAUGUAAACCAUUGCUCAACAUGUAUUCAAUUACCAGUCGAGUACUGAGUAUGAGGUAUUUGUCAUAUUUAUGGUGAACAUUUGACAAAAGGCUGCACUUAAUUAUGCUUCCACCGAAUGCAAAACAGCGAUAAAACAGGAAAAACAGUACAAAGAAAAAAAUAAAUGAAAAAUUCGAAUCGAAUAUCUGUGUUUAUAUUAAAAUUUCCGCCUUAUUAAUUUAUGCUGUGACAAACACAGACUGAGACACAACAACAACGGCCACGGAUACAAAUUCAUCAGUAUCUGACAGAACAAUGCGUAAGUUGGGCGGGAUUAUACGAGUAGUGAAUGAAAGCCGGGAAUGCUUUGGCAUGGACACUGCAAAUGAUUGUGAGAAGCUGUUCGCAUUCAGUUAUUCAAUUAAAUUGGCAACUCAAGGGGUGGACUAUUUAUGAAUGUCUGAGUCUUUGUGUGAGUGCAUGACUGUGGUUGUGGUCUCGCCCUGUGGGUCUCAGCUUUAUUAUAAUCAGCGCUUUGACUUUUGUAAAUCUCAAGAAUUGAGCAGCGUUACAAAGUUCAAUGAGGGCCAGUAAAUUGACAUUGAAUUGCUUGGAAGGGAAUAUUCGUAUGU